RNAcentral lists this transfer RNA (72 nucleotides) under Methanobacteriota archaeon. Its description in RNAcentral is "Euryarchaeota archaeon (marine metagenome) tRNA-Cys". It matches the Rfam family "tRNA". From Rfam's summary of the family: Transfer RNA (tRNA) molecules are approximately 80 nucleotides in length. Lineage: Archaea; Methanobacteriati; Methanobacteriota. The record is from RNAcentral. RNAcentral also lists the same sequence under 2 other names.
GCCGAGGUGUCAGAGUGGCCUAUGUAUCCGGCUGCAGACCGGAUUACGGGAGUUCAAAUCUCCCCCUCGGCU